Molecule: ribosomal RNA, 301 nt
Filed under: uncultured bacterium
Lineage: Bacteria
Description: partial 16S ribosomal RNA
Rfam family: Bacterial small subunit ribosomal RNA
Source: RNAcentral
CAGUCGCCGCGGUAAUACAGAGGGUGCGAGCGUUAAUCGGAUUUACUGGGCGUAAAGCGUGCGUAGGCGGCUUCUUAAGUCGGAUGUGAAAUCCCUGAGCUUAACUUAGGAAUUGCAUUCGAUACUGGGAAGCUAGAGUAUGGGAGAGGAUGGUAGAAUUCCAGGUGUAGCGGUGAAAUGCGUAGAGAUCUGGAGGAAUACCGGUGGCGAAGGCGGCCCCCUGGACAAAGACUGACGCUCAGGUGCGAAAGCGUGGGGAGCAAACAGGAUUAGAUACCCCUGUAGUCCCUGUCUCUUAUAA